Molecule: long non-coding RNA, 361 nt
Filed under: Cyanistes caeruleus (blue tit)
Lineage: Eukaryota; Metazoa; Chordata; Aves; Passeriformes; Paridae
Description: lncRNA (ENSCCEG00000011917.1)
Source: RNAcentral
GUUUUUUGUUAUUUUGGGCAGGGAGCAGGAAACAUUAGCUGUGGGAGCCUCCCCUGCCAUCUUGCCUUUGUUCCUGGUGGCCAUGGGACAUGGUGUGCAGGAACGGUCACCGUCUGAUCCAUGUGGACACAACCUACAAGGGUCCAUCAUUUUGGUUUUGAUCCUGGUGGUGAACACCUUUUUCUCAGCAAAACUGGAUUCUGGACUGAUUUUCGCAAGCUCAUGCUGCCUGAAGGCUGAAAUGAAGCUGUCACUGAAGGAGCCCACCAGAUCAGAACUGAGGCACCUAGAAAUCUUCACAUGGCUGACACUGCAAGAAGUGCCUGUUCUACCAGCACAGAUUUGUGAAGACAGAAAAUAA